RNAcentral lists this non-coding RNA (31 nucleotides) under Mus musculus (house mouse). The record is from RNAcentral. Lineage: Eukaryota; Metazoa; Chordata; Mammalia; Rodentia; Muridae.
UCCUGCUUUAUUUUUAUUAUUAUCAUCAUCA